AUGGAGAGCGUGGAUGAAAAUGGAGGAAGCCGCCUUGUGGUGACCGAGCUGGGCUACAUCAAGGAGCUGGUGAGGCAGCUGGACGUGAACCUGGGAGGCUGCCCCGACCACUGCAAGCGCCUGGCCGCCCAGAUCUUCGCUGUGACCGAGAGGUCCAUCGGCAUGAUCAGGUCCGGGCACUUCGACAGCCGGAAGCGCUCCGCCGCCGGCCUCGACUCGCCGCCGUUCUCCGCGACGCCCAGCCCCCUGAGCGACGUUUCGGGCAUGCCUUUCCAUACCAACAACAAGAAGAGGAAAACAAUGGAGAAACGGAAGCAUCAGGUCAGGGUGAGCUCGGAGGGAGGAGGAGCAGAGACCCCAGUCGACGACGGCCACAGCUGGAGGAAGUACGGCCAGAAGGACAUUCUUGGAGCCAAGCACCCAAGGGGGUACUACCGCUGCACGCACCGCAAGUCCCAGGGAUGCGCGGCGACCAAGCAGGUGCAGCGCGCCGACGAGGACCCGGCGCUCUUCGACGUGAUCUACCACGGCGAGCACACCUGCGUUCAUAAGACGGUGGCGGCCGCGGCGGCCAUGGUGCAGCCGGCGGAGGAGAACCCGGACGCGCGUAGGCAUCUGCAGAACCUGAGCACGAGCCUGACGGUGAACACCGAGGGGCUCACGGCGGGUCAUCAGGGCUGCAGCACCACCACGUCCUUCUGCUUCUCCUCGCAGGCGGCGGGCGUGCUGACGAUGCCGCAAGAGCACUACCCGUUCUCCAUGCCGUCGACGCCGGAGAACUGCUUUGGGCAAGGCGCGUCGCUGUCGACGUCCCUUGAGCCCUCGCCGGUGACCUCGGACUCGAACCGCUUCUCCAUGAGCCCGUUCCAGGCGGAGUGGAGGGCGCGGUCUGAGUACGACGAGGUGGUGUCCGCGCUCGUAGCAGCGGGGACGAUGCCGGCGCUCACCAUGGAGAUGGAGGAGGAGACCGCCUUCUCGCUGGACGAGUUUGAGUUUGACGUUUCUUGCUUCCUUGCAUGA
Molecule: ribosomal RNA, 1020 nt
Filed under: Triticum aestivum (bread wheat)
Lineage: Eukaryota; Viridiplantae; Streptophyta; Magnoliopsida; Poales; Poaceae
Description: partial small subunit ribosomal RNA
Source: RNAcentral